UCCUCACAACACGCCACCUCUGAAACCCCUCCUCUCCCAAAUCCUCUCUACAACACCCUCAAAACCUAGCUGCCGCCACCCUAAUCCGCUCUAAUGCAUUGCCUUCCAGGGUCAUCGGAGACCUGUAUCAGCCUCCCAUGGCUUCUACAAGUUUGUUUCUGUGGUCUCAUGACCAGAUCAUGAAGGGGCUUGGUCCAGACUUUGCUCGAUGACUAUUCUCCGGUCGUCUCUGAUCUUUCUCCGACCAGCCAUGGCCAUUCGGGUCAGCCUUUGACUCUCCUGCUUAGAUCAAUGGCUCUCAAGGCCUUUCUUGUCACUUGGGGUUCUUCUGAAACCUUAAUCUCUAAGGUUAUUUCGAUUUCUUUCAGAUCUGCUUCAGAUCUGUGUUUGCUUUGAACUUCUAAGCAUUUUUCUCGAAGUUUCUUUUAAAACUUUGCUUUCAAAACUCUUUACCUUUUCCGAUUAUGGUUUUCUUGUUAAGUUCUUUCAAAACUUUUCUUUGAUUUUUGACAUGUUUUGCUAUGUUUGCUCAAAUAGUCCUUCUAUCUAAGUUUUCAUGAUAAAAGCCCUAAUUUCUUUUGGGUUCAUUCGAGUCUCUGAAGCAGUCUGCUAAGUAUUUGUGUAAUCUAUUUGUUCAUCAUCUUUAAACUCGAUUGGUUUCGAAAACCCUAAUUUCUUUGGGGUCUAUUCGGGUUUCUGAAACUGCUUGUGCAAUUCAUUUGUAUGAAAUUGCUCGACUUAAUUUGAAAUUCCUUUGUUUCAGUAUCUCUUUUCUUUAUGUGAUUCCUUUGGUUCUAGGUUCUUACUAUCUUUGAAACUCGACUAUGGUUUUUAGAAGGAUUUUUCACUUAACCCUGUGCAUGCUUCUGAUACUCUAUCUUUUUCUCCACUACUAAGUCAAUGAAACUUGACCUACGUGACUACCGUGUUUCGAAUGUUUGCUAUCUACUAACUUUUGCUAUUAUUGCAUGUUGUUUCCUUUUGAUAAUAGUUUGGCCUCGCAUGUCCAGUGUUUGUGCACUCUAUUUAUAUGUUGAGUUUCCUUCUUUAAUUGACCUUGAAUCGUGUGACUGAUUUCAAACUUUUCUUUUGUUAAAAUUUGAUUUCACUCGCCUGUUAAGGUUAAUUGAUUUCUUUCCUUGUUUUGCCUUACUAAAUCCUUUCCAAAACAAGUAUAUUCCACUUCGACUUAAUCACUUACUCAAUUGUUUUACUACUUCUUUUAUGGCAAUAAUCAGUCUGCCUAUAAAUUGAUUUCUUUCCUUAUUUUGAACCUGUCACUGCCCGUUAAGCAAGUGAUCCCUUAAUUAAAGGCAAUCACUUGCGUAAUUGAUUCUAAAUAGUGAUUGUUUCCAUGUUUGUGGCUUAUUACUUCUCUUUCACUCAUUUUCAAAUAGCUAUAAAUACCCUGUAGUUCUCUUCUUUCAAACACGAACACAAGGCAUAAAAUACUUGAGUUCAGUCACACACUCCACUAAAAUCUCUCUCUUUUCUAUGUUGCUACUUGUAUUGCUGCCUUACCUAGCCGGCUGAAAGCCAAGGUUAGGCUGUGGGAAACCUGCCUAUUUUUCUCUGCAUUUGCAAUUAACUGGUAUGUUCUAAUUAAGCUUCUGCACCAACAACAUGUUUCUUUACUGUCUCUUUCAUCCUUGUUUGUCCCCUGUUUGUAUUUAACCUAGUACCAUUAUUAAACAUGCUUUAAUCUGCCCUUUCCUGUUUUGAAUUAAUGUUUUGUCCACUACUUACUAUAACUUGUGAAUCCUAAAUCCCCACCCCAAUGUGUUUAAUACUUGUGUUUGGUUUGGGGCAUGACAAUAUUGGACAUUGCUGUGCAUGACCAAAAACUGAUUCCCCUGGGAUCAUAACCUCCAUGUUUCUCCCAAAUAUUGUGUGUUCUGAUUGGUUUAUAAGCAUGUCAGCACCUUUUAUUGCUGUGCAUGCCCAAAACUGAUACAUGCCUAAGUGGAUGGGCUCCUUGCAAUGGAUUCCCAACCCUUGACCCUACUUUGUAUGAAGUUAUUAACUCUAUGUGUUAUUGAUUACUGUCUCCCUAUCACCCUUUACCCCUCUCCUUUAUCCCCUCAGAUUUUAAACUUUGUCCCUGCACUUUCACUAUCUUCUAAGAACUUAAGUUCUGCCCUCCUUGUGUGAGCCUUGCCUUGGGACCCAUGAGCUCCCUCUGAACUUGGACACAUAAGGGCUGACACUUCCACACUACACUCAUCUCUAUUCUGGUUAUGUAACUUGGUUGUGAGCACUGCCCGGGGUCCUAUUGAGACCCUUAGGGAACUUUGACACACUCAAGUAUGAGAAAUGCUUUGAAUCAAUGGCAUUUGAGAUGGUUUAUUCUAUAACUCAGAGAGGAAGUCAAGAAUCAGGCUUCCUCUGGUUGUAACUUUUCUUUGAACUUUUAUGGUAUAAUUCAUUAUUUCUGGCCUGUAAUAAUUUGUAAUAAAUAUUUGGGGCUGGCUAGUAAAAAGGGUUGGGUAAUCAUGUAUGCUCAAGGGUAAAAAGCAUGCCUAUAGGACUUUUUCUUUUAUUGUGCGUGUUCAAUUCUACAUUUUAGACACCAUGUCUAUAAGGUUUAUCUUAAUUUCUUCACGAUCAAUUUCACAUCUAGAAAACCCGCAUAUAGGACUUAUUUAUAAUUCUACUUGUUUGUUGUCACUUAGAUAUCAUAUUUUAGGUUCUAAAUGGUAAUAAGUAAGUAUCGUGUUCAUAAGGUUGAAAUCAGUAUAAUACAUAGAAAUCAUGCCUAUAGGGAUUCCCAAGAAAGUCCUGUUCAUUUAUAUUAACAUUCAAUGUUAGAUAUCAUGCCUAUAGGGAUUCCCAAGAAAAUCCUCUUCAUUUCCGUUAAUAUUCAAUGUUAUAUAUCAUGCCUAUAGGGAUUAAAAUCAUCAAAUAUUAGAUACCAUCGCCUACAGAAUCUGAGACUAGCUCAAUUUCAAAUCACUUCGAUUCCGACCCAGUUUUAAACAACUUUCCUUCUUUAUUUAACGAGGUUUAGCAAGCAUGCCUAUAGGAUCCCAGACCAUUCGUUUUAAGUUGUUACUACUUUGCCACACUUUGAAUCAGUAAAUAGAUACCAUGUUCGUAAAAGCUAACCCAAACGCUUAGGCAAGCCUUAGGUAAUAACAACAAUAAAAUUUGAAUCCGCUUUUGUUAGUUUCUACAACCAGCAGGCAGGCCUAAUUCGCACUUGUUAUCUAAGUUAUGUAAUAAACUAAUCUUCCUCAAUAAUUAAACUCCCCUCGUCUUUAGUAUUUUAAUCAUACAUAAAAGGUAUGUGCAUGUCAUGCUAUUUAUUUGUUUUUUUUUGUUUUAGGAGGAAUACAUGGGCCUUUAUCUGUUUAUAUGCUUCCCCAACAUGCAGUAUUAUGUGUUUGUAUGUCGCCUUAGAUUUUUUCCUUUUGAAACCAAAAUUAGCCUAAUAUCCCUCCCUUUUAGGAAUAGUAGUCCUAAGCUCUUCCAGGACUGAUAGAAAUGAGACAGGUAAUAACACGCAAUAGUGAACGAGACCAAUUUGUGCUUUAAAUACCUUAACGGGGUGGGAAGGGUAGAUAUGGAUAUGAUAACUGGUGCCCUAAUACCACGUGUAUCCCCUCUUUUGAGGAGUGUCAUAUCGGGUAUCGCAUUGAUGCGAUCUAUAUUAAAUACAAACCCAGGACCCCUUUACAUUCAUCAACAUGCUUAGUGAUAACACUUUCAAAACUUUGCUUUAUUUUAUCAUUUCUAAACACCUGUGUAUUUAAAAUCCCCUCUUAUGUGAGCCUUGUUUGUUUACUUGUUAAUUGCACAAAUUCACAGUCAACUGUCUGGCCGGGAACCACACUAAUGGAUCUUGAGGGGUUCCUAACACUUUCCUCUUAGGAUAAUUUCAAGCCCUUACCCUAACUCUGGCUAUUCAAACGAACUUAGAAUCAACCCUAUUGGUGUCCUAAUGCACCUUAAUUCAUUAGGUGGCGACUCUUCAAAUUGCAAAACCCAGUUCCCUGAAGGAACGAGUUGUCCCAUACCAAAUGUCAUAAACCUGAUUUUGCGAGAAAAAGGGGGCGCGACACCACCAUGUUUAAACUCACAAGUUUUCUUUGUUUGAAACAGGGAUGAAGACUAUUUCCAAAUCAAAGCUUGGAAGCUUGAAUUUUUCAAGUGGCAUGCCCAAAUUAUCUCAGCACAAAGGCAGUUUGAGAAGUGGAAAGAAAUUUGUUCGAUCUGCAGGAACCCUCUAUGAGGAAAAGCAUGGUUCAGG
This 4249-nucleotide long non-coding RNA is filed under the name Nicotiana tabacum (common tobacco). RNAcentral describes it as "long non-coding RNA (NTAB_LNC018332)". The record is from RNAcentral. Lineage: Eukaryota; Viridiplantae; Streptophyta; Magnoliopsida; Solanales; Solanaceae.